RNAcentral lists this long non-coding RNA (566 nucleotides) under Pelobates cultripes (western spadefoot toad). Lineage: Eukaryota; Metazoa; Chordata; Amphibia; Anura; Pelobatidae. The record is from RNAcentral.
AUUUUUGGAUUACCUAUUGGCAGUAGAGGGAGGUGUAUGUGGGAAGUUUAAUCUAAGCAAUUGUUGUCUUCAAAUAGAUGAUGAAGGGCAAGCAAUAGCUGAGCUUACUAGCCAUAUGGUUAAGCUAGCAUAUGUACCUACUCAGGUAUGGAAAGGGUAUAAUCCGAGUAGUUGGUUUGGUAGUUGGUAUGAGCAGUUUGGAGGAAUCAAGGCAUUGGUAGGUGGAGUCAUACUGAUUUUGAUGUUGUGUCUCCUUCUGCCAUGUCUGAUUCCUUUGGUAAUUAGGUCUAUGCAGAGCAUUAUAGAAAGUAUAGCAGAAAGAAAGGCCGCAGCACAGGUAAUGGCUGUUUGCAGGUAUGAAGCUCUAGAUCAAGGAGAAUACAUGCAGGAAGAGGAAUGUUGAGGGGUUCGUAUCUUUAGAGACUCGCAAAGUCUAGUCUAGUUUAUGGCAACUUGAGGUGUAAGCAAACUAUGAUUGGUGAUGCAGCUGGAAUUAUUUUAAAUUAGAAGCAUCAAAGGGGGGAAUGUGAUGGAAUUCCAGUAAAAUACAAGUUUAGCAGGCCAAG